This is a long non-coding RNA of Talpa occidentalis (Iberian mole), 699 nucleotides long. RefSeq lists it as uncharacterized. The record is from RefSeq and is a predicted model, not a curated record. The transcript has 4 exons. NCBI's taxonomy places the organism in Eukaryota, Metazoa, Chordata, Mammalia, Eulipotyphla, Talpidae.
UGCCCCACCCACUAGAUUACUCCUCUCCUCUCCAGCCACUCAGCCUCCUCUGGGGCACCUAUGGGUGACAGUUAUGUGUGUCUUUCCAGAAUUCUGGAUUCUUUGUUGUUUUAUUUUCAUCACAAGCUUUUGACCUGCAGUUGAAUACUGGAAGACUGUAGAGAGCUGCCCAGUAGUCCUCAGAGACCUUGGUAGAACAAGGGGGUCUGGCGCUUUCCCAGCCUCCUGACCAGCCCCCUCCCGGGCACUGGAGUCUUCCCUCCAUCAAGCAGGUGGCAGAAUGCCCAAGACCGGCCCAGCACUGGCAUUUCAGGGAGAAAUUCCGGACUGAAGAGACACCUAGAGAGAAAGGGAGACAUGGAAAUGCUUAUGGCUUUCAACAGUCAUCCUUUGAAGCAGGCUGGAAACAGGGGAGGUUAAGAGGACGCUUUGAGGGUUACCUAAAACCAAGAAUGCUCCCAGCCCCUCAGCACAGAUGCCGUGGACUUACGUGAAACAAUCAUUUCAGAGGACAGUGACAAAGAAGCCACUGUCUCAGAUUGGACUACGUGAACAAUGAAGAAUGAGGAAUAUGAAUCAUUUGAUUUCUAGUGUUUGAGAUCCUGGGUGGAAGGAAAGGAAAGAGGGAGAGAGGGAAAGAAACUAAAUUUCAAACCUUUGAUUCCAAAAUGGCAAGCAAAGGCAUUUUCUCUUGUUUCU